This 56-nucleotide ribosomal RNA is filed under the name Polarella glacialis. Its description in RNAcentral is "partial Eukaryotic large subunit ribosomal RNA". The record is from RNAcentral. Lineage: Eukaryota; Dinophyceae; Suessiales; Suessiaceae.
UGGUGCUGCGCAUGAAUGGAUUAACGAGAUGCCCACUGUCCAUGAUUACAAUCUGG